This 989-nucleotide ribosomal RNA is filed under the name Enterococcus faecium. RNAcentral describes it as "bacterial SSU rRNA". It matches the Rfam family "Bacterial small subunit ribosomal RNA", at positions 51 to 1013 of the family's 1533-position model. Lineage: Bacteria; Bacillati; Bacillota; Bacilli; Lactobacillales; Enterococcaceae. The record is from RNAcentral.
AUACAUGCAAGUCGAACGCUUCUUUUUCCACCGGAGCUUGCUCCACCGGAAAAAGAGGAGUGGCGAACGGGUGAGUAACACGUGGGUAACCUGCCCAUCAGAAGGGGAUAACACUUGGAAACAGGUGCUAAUACCGUAUAACAAUCAAAACCGCAGGUUUUGAUUUGAAAGGCGCUUUCGGGUGUCGCUGAUGGAUGGACCCGCGGUGCAUUAGCUAGUUGGUGAGGUAACGGCUCACCAAGGCCACGAUGCAUAGCCGACCUGAGAGGGUGAUCGGCCACAUUGGGACUGAGACACGGCCCAAACUCCUACGGGAGGCAGCAGUAGGGAAUCUUCGGCAAUGGACGAAAGUCUGACCGAGCAACGCCGCGUGAGUGAAGAAGGUUUUCGGAUCGUAAAACUCUGUUGUUAGAGAAGAACAAGGAUGAGAGUAACUGUUCAUCCCUUGACGGUAUCUAACCAGAAAGCCACGGCUAACUACGUGCCAGCAGCCGCGGUAAUACGUAGGUGGCAAGCGUUGUCCGGAUUUAUUGGGCGUAAAGCGAGCGCAGGCGGUUUCUUAAGUCUGAUGUGAAAGCCCCCGGCUCAACCGGGGAGGGUCAUUGGAAACUGGGAGACUUGAGUGCAGAAGAGGAGAGUGGAAUUCCAUGUGUAGCGGUGAAAUGCGUAGAUAUAUGGAGGAACACCAGUGGCGAAGGCGGCUCUCUGGUCUGUAACUGACGCUGAGGCUCGAAAGCGUGGGGAGCAAACAGGAUUAGAUACCCUGGUAGUCCACGCCGUAAACGAUGAGUGCUAAGUGUUGGAGGGUUUCCGCCCUUCAGUGCUGCAGCUAACGCAUUAAGCACUCCGCCUGGGGAGUACGACCGCAAGGUUGAAACUCAAAGGAAUUGACGGGGGCCCGCACAGCGGUGGAGCAUGUGGUUUAAUUCGAAGCAACGCGAGAACCUUACCAGGUCUUGACAUCCUUUGACCACUCUAGAGAUAGAGCU